This 253-nucleotide ribosomal RNA is filed under the name uncultured bacterium. Its description in RNAcentral is "partial 16S ribosomal RNA". It matches the Rfam family "Bacterial small subunit ribosomal RNA", at positions 524 to 776 of the family's 1533-position model. The record is from RNAcentral.
UACAGAGGUCUCAAGCGUUGUUCGGAUUCAUUGGGCGUAAAGGGUGCGUAGGCGGCGCGGUAAGUCGGGUGUGAAAUCUUGGAGCUUAACUCCGAAACUGCAUUCGAUACUGCCGUGCUUGAGGACUGGAGAGGAGACUGGAAUUUACGGUGUAGCGGUGAAAUGCGUAGAUAUCGUAAGGAAGACCAGUGGCGAAGGCGGUUCUCUGGACAGUACCUGACGCUGAGGCACGAAGGCCAGGGGAGCAAACGGG